GACGAACGCUGGCGGCGUGCCUAAUACAUGCAAGUUGAGCACUGAAGGUUGGUACUUGUACCAACUGGAUGAGCAGCGAACGGGUGAGUAACGCGUGGGGAAUCUGCCUUUGAGCGGGGGACAACAUUUGGAAACGAAUGCUAAUACCGCAUAAAAACUUUAAACACAAGUUUUAAGUUUGAAAGAUGCAAUUGCAUCACUCAAAGAUGAUCCCGCGUUGUAUUAGCUAGUUGGUGAGGUAAAGGCUCACCAAGGCGAUGAUACAUAGCCGACCUGAGAGGGUGAUCGGCCACAUUGGGACUGAGACACGGCCCAAACUCCUACGGGAGGCAGCAGUAGGGAAUCUUCGGCAAUGGACGAAAGUCUGACCGAGCAACGCCGCGUGAGUGAAGAAGGUUUUCGGAUCGUAAAACUCUGUUGGUAGAGAAGAACGUUGGUGAGAGUGGAAAGCUCAUCAAGUGACGGUAACUACCCAGAAAGGGACGGCUAACUACGUG
Molecule: ribosomal RNA, 497 nt
Filed under: uncultured bacterium
Lineage: Bacteria
Description: partial 16S ribosomal RNA
Rfam family: Bacterial small subunit ribosomal RNA
Source: RNAcentral